GCCUUCGUGGUGUAGCGGUCAGCACGCUGGGCGCGUAUUCCAGAGGUCCGUAGUUCGAAUCCCGGCAAAGAUG
RNAcentral lists this transfer RNA (73 nucleotides) under Stegodyphus mimosarum. It matches the Rfam family "tRNA". From Rfam's summary of the family: Transfer RNA (tRNA) molecules are approximately 80 nucleotides in length. Their secondary structure includes four short double-helical elements and three loops (D, anti-codon, and T loops). Further hydrogen bonds mediate the characteristic L-shaped molecular structure. tRNAs have two regions of fundamental functional importance: the anti-codon, which is responsible for specific mRNA codon recognition, and the 3' end, to which the tRNAs corresponding amino acid is attached (by aminoacyl-tRNA synthetases). tRNAs cope with the degeneracy of the genetic code in two manners: having more than one tRNA (with a specific anti-codon) for a particular amino acid; and 'wobble' base-pairing, i.e. permitting non-standard base-pairing at the 3rd anti-codon position. Lineage: Eukaryota; Metazoa; Arthropoda; Arachnida; Araneae; Eresidae. The record is from Rfam by way of RNAcentral.